GGGGAAUUGGUAGUAGGUGGAGGUUGCGCUAAUCCGGUCAGAUUCGAAAGAAAGCAGCCGUAACGUUAAUUUUUCAGGUUGUUAUUCAGUUCCCCGUU
This is a non-coding RNA of Candidatus Pelagibacter sp. IMCC9063, 98 nucleotides long. It matches the Rfam family "Bacterial small signal recognition particle RNA". From Rfam's summary of the family: The signal recognition particle (SRP) is a universally conserved ribonucleoprotein involved in the co-translational targeting of proteins to membranes. Archaeal SRP consists of a 7S RNA and homologues of the eukaryotic SRP19 and SRP54 proteins. Lineage: Bacteria; Pseudomonadati; Pseudomonadota; Alphaproteobacteria; Candidatus Pelagibacterales; Candidatus Pelagibacteraceae. The record is from Rfam.